ACGAACGCUGGCGGCGUGCUUAACACAUGCAAGUCGAACGGAAAGGCCCUGCUUUUGUGGGGUGCUCGAGUGGCGAACGGGUGAGUAACACGUGAGUAACCUGCCCCUUACUUUGGGAUAACUUCAGGAAACUGGGGCUAAUACCGGAUAGGAGCUCCUGCUGCAUGGUGGGGGGUGGAAAGGUUCGGCGGUUGGGGAUGGACUCGCGGCUUAUCAGCUUGUUGGUGGGGUAGUGGCUUACCAAGGCUUUGACGGGUAGCCGGCCUGAGAGGGUGACCGGCCACAUUGGGACUGAGAUACGGCCCAGACUCCUACGGGAGGCAGCAGUGGGGAAUAUUGCACAAUGGGCGGAAGCCUGAUGCAGCAACGCCGCGUGCGGGAUGACGGCCUUCGGGUUGUAAACCGCUUUCGCCUGUGACGAAGCGUGAGUGACGGUAAUGGGUAAAGAAGCACCGGCUAACUACGUG
This 467-nucleotide ribosomal RNA is filed under the name uncultured bacterium. RNAcentral describes it as "partial 16S ribosomal RNA". It matches the Rfam family "Bacterial small subunit ribosomal RNA", at positions 29 to 507 of the family's 1533-position model. The record is from RNAcentral.